UCUCCGUUGGUGAACCAGCGGAGGGAUCAUUAUCGAGUUUAUAACUCCCAAACCCUAUGUGAACUUACCACUUGUUGCUUCGGCGCGCGCUUCGGCGCCGCCGAGGACACUUAAACUCUUUGUUUUUAUAAGCAUUUCUGAGUGGCCGAAAGGCAAAAUACAAAUGAACCAAAACUUUCAACAACGGAUCUCUUGGUUCUG
Molecule: unclassified non-coding RNA, 201 nt
Filed under: plant metagenome
Description: partial contains small subunit ribosomal RNA, internal transcribed spacer 1, and 5.8S ribosomal RNA
Source: RNAcentral